RNAcentral lists this ribosomal RNA (1390 nucleotides) under uncultured fungus. RNAcentral describes it as "eukaryotic LSU rRNA". The stretch from base 756 to 1390 matches the Rfam family "Eukaryotic large subunit ribosomal RNA", at positions 1 to 649 of the family's 3401-position model. Lineage: Eukaryota; Fungi. The record is from RNAcentral.
AAGUCGUAACAAGGUUUUCCUUCCGGUUAAAAAAUUUAACUGCCGAAGCCUUUCACGCCGACUUAAAACUGCGUGGAGUCUUGCCUUUUCAAGGUGAAGACAAUACCGCUGAAAUGCUGUGAUCACGUAAGUGUACCAGCAGCCUAAUACUACUUAGGCCCACAGAUCAAGUGGCGGUGGUCGAUAGCUAAAGCUAGAGACUAUAAUAUGACCGGUCCUAACCUAAACGGUUAAGAAUCAAUGUUCCGUAGGUGAACCUGCGGAAGGAUCAUUACUGAGUUAGGGUCUUCCAGGCCUGACCUUCAACCCUUUGUAUAACUACCAUGUUGCUUUGGCGGGCCCGUCUUUAACCGGACCGUCGGAGGUCUUCGACCUCUGGCCAGCGCUCGCCAGUAGCCCUUAACAAAACUCUUUUAACCAUGUUAAAUCUGAAAAUAGUUAAAUAAACUAAAACUUUCAACAACGGAUCUCUUGGUUCUGGCAUCGAUGAAGAACGCAGCGAAAUGCGAUAAGUAAUGUGAAUUGCAGAAUUCAGUGAAUCAUCGAAUCUUUGAACGCACAUUGCGCCCAUUGGUAUUCCAAUGGGCAUGCCUGUUCGAGCGUCAUUUGUACCCUCAAGCUUUGCUUGGUGUUGGGCGUUUGUCUUUCGAGACUCGCCUUAAAAAGAUUGGCAGCCGGCAUACUGGUUUCGGAGCGCAGCACAAAUUGCGGUCUGUUCCUGAAUGUCGACGUCCAUGAGCCCCCAUUAUCACUUUUGACCUCGGAUCAGGUAGGGAUACCCGCUGAACUUAAGCAUAUCAAUAAGCGGAGGAAAAGAAACCAACAGGGAUUGCCUCAGUAACGGCGAGUGAAGCGGCAUCAGCUCAAAUUUGAAAUCUGGCUCUUUUAGAGUCCGAGUUGUAAUUUGCAGAGGGCGCUUUGGCAUAGGCAGCGAUUCAAGUUCCUUGGAACAGGACGUCACAGAGGGUGAGAAUCCCGUACGUGGUCGCUAGCUCUUGCCGUGUAAAGCCCCUUCGACGAGUCGAGUUGUUUGGGAAUGCAGCUCUAAAUGGGAGGUAAAUUUCUUCUAAAGCUAAAUAUUGGCCAGAGACCGAUAGCGCACAAGUAGAGUGAUCGAAAGAUGAAAAAACCUUUGGAAAGAGAGUUAAACAGCAUGUGAAAUUGUUGAAAGGGAAGCGCUUGCAGCCAGACUUGCCUGUAGUUGCUCAUCCGGGCUCUUGCCCGGUGCACUCUUCUGUAGGCAGGCCAGCAUCAGUUUGGGCGGUUGGAUAAAGGUCUCUGUCAUGUACCUCUCUUCGGGGAGGCCUUAUAGGGGAGGCGACAUACAACCAGCCUAGACUGAGGUCCGCGCAUUCGUGCUAGGAUGCUGGCGUAAUGGCUGUAAGCGGCC